This 468-nucleotide ribosomal RNA is filed under the name uncultured bacterium. RNAcentral describes it as "partial 16S ribosomal RNA". It matches the Rfam family "Bacterial small subunit ribosomal RNA", at positions 28 to 507 of the family's 1533-position model. The record is from RNAcentral.
GACGAACGCUGGCGGCGUGCUUAACACAUGCAAGUCGAACGGAAAGGCCCUGCUUUUGUGGGGUGCUCGAGUGGCGAACGGGUGCGUAACACGUGAGUAACCUGCCCUUGACUUUGGGAUAACUUCAGGAAACUGGGGCUAAUACCGGAUAGGAUCUCCUGCUGCAUGGUGGGGGUUGGAACGUUUCGGCGGUUGGGGAUGGACUCGCGGCUUAUGAGCUUGUUGGUGGGGUAGUGGCUUACCAAGGCUUUGACGGGUAGCCGGCCUGGGAGGGUGACCGGCCACAUUGGGACUGAGAUAGGGCCCAGACUCCUACGUGAGGCAGCAGUGGGAAAUAUUGCACAAUGGGCGGAAGCCGGAUGCAGCAACGCCGCGUGCGGAAUGACGGCCUUCGGGUUGUAAACCGCUGUCGCCUGUGACGAAGCGUGAGUGACGGUAAUGGGUAAAGAAGCACCGGCUAACUACGUG